This 439-nucleotide ribosomal RNA is filed under the name uncultured bacterium. RNAcentral's name for it is "partial 16S ribosomal RNA". It matches the Rfam family "Bacterial small subunit ribosomal RNA", at positions 339 to 795 of the family's 1533-position model. The record is from RNAcentral.
CUACGGGACGCAGCAGUGAGGAAUAUUGCACAAUGGGGGGAACCCUGAUGCAGCAACGCCGCGUGGAGGAUGACGCAUUUCGGUGUGUAAACUCCUUUUAUAUGUCAAGAAAAUGACGGUAGCAUAUGAAUAAGCACCGGCUAACUACGUGCCAGCAGCCGCGGUAAUACGGAGGGUGCAAGCGUUACUCGGAAUCACUGGGCGUAAAGGACGCGUAGGCGGGCUUGUAAGUCAGGUGUGAAAUCCUACAGCUUAACUGUAGAACUGCACUUGAAACUACGAGCCUAGAGUAUGGGAGGGGGAGAUGGAAUUAGUGGUGUAGGGGUAAAAUCCGUAGAUAUCACUAGGAAUACCUAAAGCGAAGGCGAUCUCCUGGAACAUUACUGACGCUAAGGCGUGAAAGCGUGGGGAGCAAACAGGAUUAGAUACCCCCGUAGUC